AAUCAUGGCUCAGGACGAACGCUGGCGGCGCGCCUAACACAUGCAAGUCGAACGGAAUCAAGAGGAGCUUGCUUUUCUUGAUUUAGUGGCGAACGGGUGAGUAACGCGUGAGUAACCUGCCCUGGAGUGGGGGACAACAGUUGGAAACGACUGCUAAUACCGCAUAAGCCCACGGUGCUGCAUGGCACUGCGGGAAAAGGAUUUAUUCGCUUCAGGAUGGACUCGCGUCCAAUUAG
Molecule: ribosomal RNA, 236 nt
Filed under: uncultured bacterium
Lineage: Bacteria
Description: partial 16S ribosomal RNA
Rfam family: Bacterial small subunit ribosomal RNA
Source: RNAcentral